GUUAGCUCAGCCGGUAGAGCAGUUGACUCAUAAUCGCUUGGUCGCUGGUUCAAGUCCAGCAGGGGCCACCA
RNAcentral lists this transfer RNA (71 nucleotides) under Morganella morganii. RNAcentral describes it as "tRNA-Met". It matches the Rfam family "tRNA". From Rfam's summary of the family: Transfer RNA (tRNA) molecules are approximately 80 nucleotides in length. Their secondary structure includes four short double-helical elements and three loops (D, anti-codon, and T loops). The record is from RNAcentral. Lineage: Bacteria; Pseudomonadati; Pseudomonadota; Gammaproteobacteria; Enterobacterales; Morganellaceae.